CCUACGGGAGGCAGCAGUGAGGAAUAUUGGUCAAUGGGCGCGAGCCUGAACCAGCCAAGUAGCGUGAAGGAUGACUGCCCUACGGGUUGUAAACUUCUUUUAUAAAGGAAUAAAGUGCGGCACGUGUGCCUUUUUGUAUGUACUUUAUGCAUAAGGAUCGGCUAACUCCGUGCCAGCAGCCGCGGUAAUACGGAGGAUCCGAGCGUUAUCCGGAUUUAUUGGGUUUAAAGGGAGCGUAGAUGGGUUGUUAAGUCAGUUGUGAAAGUUUGCGGCUCAACCGUAAAAUUGCAAUGGAUACUGGCGGUCUUGAGUACAGGUGAGGUAGGCGGAAUUCGUGGUGUAGCGGUGAAAUGCUUAGAUAGCACGAAGAACUCCGAUUGCGAAGGCAGCUUACUAAACUGCAACUGACAUUGAUGCUCGAAAGUGUGGGUAUCAAACAGGAUUAGAUACCCGAGUAGUC
Molecule: ribosomal RNA, 460 nt
Filed under: uncultured bacterium
Lineage: Bacteria
Description: partial 16S ribosomal RNA
Rfam family: Bacterial small subunit ribosomal RNA
Source: RNAcentral